RNAcentral lists this ribosomal RNA (343 nucleotides) under Paludistella meslinii. RNAcentral's name for it is "SSU rRNA". It matches the Rfam family "Eukaryotic small subunit ribosomal RNA", at positions 594 to 945 of the family's 1831-position model. Lineage: Eukaryota; Viridiplantae; Chlorophyta; Chlorophyceae; Chlamydomonadales; Chlamydomonadaceae. The record is from RNAcentral.
AUAGCGUAUAUUUAAGUUGUUGCAGUUAAAAAGCUCGUAGUUGGAUUUCGGGUGAGUGUUAGCGGUCCGGUUCGCUGUGCACUGCUAGCACUUAUCUUUCUGCCGUAUAUAGGUACCUGGGCUUCACUGUUUGGGUCCUACAGCCGGCGAGGUUACUUUGAGUAAAUUAGAGUGUUCAAAGCAAGCUUAUGCUAUGAAUACAUUAGCAUGGAAUAACACGAUAGGACUCUGGCUUAUCUUGUUGGUCUGUAAGACUGGAGUAAUGAUUAAGAGGGACAGUCGGGGGCAUUCAUAUUUCAUUGUCAGAGGUGAAAUUCUUGGAUUUAUGAAAGACGAACUUCUG